GAGAGGGAGCAGAUAAACUGCUUAAUAGCCAGUAAGAGCCGCACGUUCUCCCAAAAACCAGGGUUCACCACGCUAGCCACCCAUAGGGCAACCCCCAUAUCGGAUACCUGACGCCGUCAGAGCUGGUAUGAGGGAAGAGAUACAGGAAAUGAGACUAGGAGUUAUUGAGCCCUCCGAUAGUCCCUGGGCAUCCCCAGUAGUCCUGGUGCCGAAGAAGGAUGGGACUACCCGGUUCUGCGUGGACUAUCGGCGGCUAAAUGACAAAACCGUGAGUUGAUGAGUUAUUGGAUCGCAUCGCAAGGGGAUGAUAUCUGACCACCAUCGACCUCUGUAAGGGGUACUUGCAGAUUCCCCUGGCCGAGGAGGAUAUUCCCAAGUCAGCCUUUGUUACCCCGUUUGGCUUGUACCAAUUUAGGGUCAUGCCAUUCGGGAUGAAAAACGCCCCAGCCACGUUCCAACGCUUGGUGGAUAGACUCCUUGAUGGCUUUUGCUUGUGCAUACCUGGAUGACAUUGCGAUCUUAGCGAGUCCUGGGAGGAACACUUGAGGCAUGUGGGGGCAAUGCUGGAUCAGAUUCGGGCGGCUGGCCUGACUCUGAAACCAGACAAAUGUCAUAUAGGCAUGGCGGAAGUCCAGUAUUUGGGACACCGGGUCGGGUGUGGACAGCAGCAUCCAGAGCCUGCCAAGAUAGAAGCUGUCGCUAACUGGCCCACACCCCGGACCAAGACCCAAGUCCUGGCUUUCCUGAGGACAGCGGGUUAUUAUAGAUGCUUUGUAUCAGACUACAGAGCCCUAGCUAAGCCCCUGACUGACCUUACAUAAAGAACCUUCCCAGACAGGUCUCCUGCCUGUGAAACUGCUUUUCAUGCCUUGAAAGAUGCCCUUGUACAAACCCUUGUGUUGGCUGCCCCAGUCCCUAACAAACGUUUUAUCAUCCACACAGACGCUUCCAUGUUCGGACUGGGGGCAGUUCUAAUCCAAGUGGGAGAGGACAGAGGAGGGGACCCGGUCGCUUACAUCAGCUGCAAACUAUUGCCCCAAGAAGUGAGCUAUGCAGCAGUUGAAAAGGAGUGUUUGGCUUUGGUGUGGGCACUGAAGAAGCUCACCCCCUACUUGUAUGGGCGAGAAUUCACAUUAGUAAUGGACCAUAACCCCUUGGUUUGGUUAAACAGGGUGACUGGAGACAAUGGACGGUUACUAGGAUGGAGCCUUGCACUACAGCCCUAUAAUUUUAACAUCGAGUACCGCCCCGGGAAACAAAACGGCAACGCCGAUGGUCUGUCCUGCCAGACUGAACUCAGUACAUAAUCUGUUGUCCAGGCAUCCACCAGUUGACCUAAAAAGGAUCAAACCGGGUCUGCUGGAGUUUUCCACAAAGAGGGAGCCAUGUAACAGAUUCUCUGUCUUGGAUCUGUAAUUUGUGAACAGCCGUUCAUUUGAACAAUUCGUUUAAUUGCCUGAGUUUUAUGUUAUAGUAAGGGCCGUUCGAAUCACGAAUUUUCCACUAAAUACCCAACCACCCAGAACAGAAGUGUGGCACUCAUUACCUCCCAGACUCGUGUAACACCUCAAAAACCGCGAACACUUCAUCAUUCUAAUUGCUAUACAGGGUGGUCGGCGUUCGUCUGAACGAACACACGGCAGUGGCCAAUUUGUUUAGUCGAACGCACUGUAGCAGUACUUACCUUACCCGGGGCCGGCCGAGGUCCUCUCUUCCCGCCGCGAGCGGCUCUCGAAUGAAGGCGGGCAUGGACCGCGAGAUGCGGUCACGUGUCCCGCCUAGCUCUAAGAGCGUGCCACACGUCUCCGGCACGCUCUUAAAGGGGCAGUGGGAGCCAAAAAAUGGAAUGUACUCCCAUUGGCCCCUGUCAUCCCACAUUCCCCAGACACUCACAUUUUGGGGGCGUGAAUAUGACAGGGGCCAAUCAAAGUAUUUAUACUUAUCUCUCCCUUAACUCCCUGCCCUAUCGUGGUUUCUGUUUCAGUUCCCUUUAGCGCUUGUUGUGUUCAGUUGUGAUUUUCGUGCUUGACCUUGGCUUUGUCUCUGACACCGUUUAUCUCUCUAUCCCUGUUUUGUCUUGUUUGCUGGCUUACUGACUACUGUGUACCAGACCUUGGCUAGUUUUUGUUCUCGCAGUCUCUUUGUUCCCUUGACCUCGGCUUGUUCUUGACUCUGUCUAUUCUCUGCUAUAUGGCGAGUCCGGCCAUUCUAAGGUCCGGUAAGUCGUAUCUGCUCUAUCUGUCGAUUGGUGGACUAAAUCUUGCGUGUAGGGGUAAACUACCGUGACACGCACUCAGCGGUGUUUGGUCAUCAAACGCGUGGAACUAUUUUCGGCUACCUAUUCCACGAACACCACUGAAACUUCUACCUCCCGUGCGUUUGGCUAAACUCAUGCGAAAAGAGAAUUAUUUCUAAUGAAUAAACUCUUGAACAUCCGCAUCUAAAGAUAGUAAGCACGAACCGAUCCGUUCGGUGCAAUUUGAACUUUAUUCGAAAGGAAAGAUAGACCGGCCGCACAGCCUGAAUCUGUGGAACUAUUUUGGGCAUGCAAACAGGCGUGCGGUCGGUCAAAGAGACUUUAUCAUAUCUCCCGAAUCCCUGAACGGAUUCAUGUGAUUUUUCAGAUAUGUCUGUCCUCUAGUUACGCUUGUUAUAAAAAUGUAAGUUUUAUUAAUAUCAGAUGUAUAAUCGUGGAGUUAUAAAAAUGUAUAAAAAGUAUGAUUUUUAGCUUGGAGAUAAUUGAGUUGAUACAGUAAUUAACUCAAUUAUCUCCAAAGUAGAGAGGAGGAAUUCACUGUACUAAGUGGGAGUGAUUAUCUAAUUGCCACUACUCUAUGGUUGCAAAGUUUGCAGUUUCAGUACCCCAUAAGGUCCACGUGGGUGGUAAAAAAGAGGAGUGAGAUAGCGCUAAGUAACUAUAGGCAGCGACCUUAAAAGGGAAUCCCUCAAACCCUUUAAAACAGAAUACAAUAAAAGGCUGCGCACAAAAGAUAAAUAAAGUCCAAUUAGAGUAAAAUAAAAUAAAAUAAGUCCAAAU
Molecule: non-coding RNA, 3037 nt
Organism: Pelobates cultripes (western spadefoot toad)
Lineage: Eukaryota; Metazoa; Chordata; Amphibia; Anura; Pelobatidae
Source: the annotation of a GenBank genome assembly